AAAUUGAAGAGUUUGAUCAUGGCUCAGAUUGAACGCUGGCGGCAGGCCUAACACAUGCAAGUCGAACGGUAACAGGAAACAGCUUGCUGUUUCGCUGACGAGUGGCGGACGGGUGAGUAAUGUCUGGGAAACUGCCUGAUGGAGGGGGAUAACUACUGGAAACGGUAGCUAAUACCGCAUAACGUCGCAAGACCAAAGAGGGGGACCUUCGGGCCUCUUGCCAUCGGAUGUGCCCAGAUGGGAUUAGCUAGUAGGUGGGGUAACGGCUCACCUAGGCGACGAUCCCUAGCUGGUCUGAGAGGAUGACCAGCCACACUGGAACUGAGACACGGUCCAGACUCCUACGGGAGGCAGCAGUGGGGAAUAUUGCACAAUGGGCGCAAGCCUGAUGCAGCCAUGCCGCGUGUAUGAAGAAGGCCUUCGGGUUGUAAAGUACUUUCAGCGGGGAGGAAGGGAGUAAAGUUAAUACCUUUGCUCAUUGACGUUACCCGCAGAAGAAGCACCGGCUAACUCCGUGCCAGCAGCCGCGGUAAUACGGAGGGUGCAAGCGUUAAUCGGAAUUACUGGGCGUAAAGCGCACGCAGGCGGUUUGUUAAGUCAGAUGUGAAAUCCCCGGGCUCAACCUGGGAACUGCAUCUGAUACUGGCAGGCUUGAGUCUCGUAGAGGGGGGUAGAAUUCCAGGUGUAGCGGUGAAAUGCGUAGAGAUCUGGAGGAAUACCGGUGGCGAAGGCGGCCCCCUGGACGAAGACUGACGCUCAGGUGCGAAAGCGUGGGGAGCAAACAGGAUUAGAUACCCUGGUAGUCCACGCCGUAAACGAUGUCGACUUGGAGGUUGUGCCCUUGAGGCGUGGCUUCCGGAGCUAACGCGUUAAGUCGACCGCCUGGGGAGUACGGCCGCAAGGUUAAAACUCAAAUGAAUUGACGGGGGCCCGCACAAGCGGUGGAGCAUGUGGUUUAAUUCGAUGCAACGCGAAGAACCUUACCUGGUCUUGACAUCCACAGAACUUUCCAGAGAUGGAUUGGUGCCUUCGGGAACUGUGAGACAGGUGCUGCAUGGCUGUCGUCAGCUCGUGUUGUGAAAUGUUGGGUUAAGUCCCGCAACGAGCGCAACCCUUAUCCUUUGUUGCCAGCGGUCCGGCCGGGAACUCAAAGGAGACUGCCAGUGAUAAACUGGAGGAAGGUGGGGAUGACGUCAAGUCAUCAUGGCCCUUACGACCAGGGCUACACACGUGCUACAAUGGCGCAUACAAAGAGAAGCGACCUCGCGAGAGCAAGCGGACCUCAUAAAGUGCGUCGUAGUCCGGAUUGGAGUCUGCAACUCGACUCCAUGAAGUCGGAAUCGCUAGUAAUCGUGGAUCAGAAUGCCACGGUGAAUACGUUCCCGGGCCUUGUACACACCGCCCGUCACACCAUGGGAGUGGGUUGCAAAAGAAGUAGGUAGCUUAACCUUCGGGAGGGCGCUUACCACUUUGUGAUUCAUGACUGGGGUGAAGUCGUAACAAGGUAACCGUAGGGGAACCUGCGGUUGGAUCACCUCCUUACCUUAAAGAAGC
Molecule: ribosomal RNA, 1554 nt
Filed under: Escherichia coli
Lineage: Bacteria; Pseudomonadati; Pseudomonadota; Gammaproteobacteria; Enterobacterales; Enterobacteriaceae
Description: bacterial SSU rRNA
Rfam family: Bacterial small subunit ribosomal RNA
Source: RNAcentral